Molecule: ribosomal RNA, 305 nt
Filed under: Coelastrea aspera
Lineage: Eukaryota; Metazoa; Cnidaria; Anthozoa; Scleractinia; Merulinidae
Description: eukaryotic LSU rRNA
Rfam family: Eukaryotic large subunit ribosomal RNA
Source: RNAcentral
UUAAUAAGCGGAGGAAGAGAAACUAACAAGGAUUCCCUCAGUAACGGCGAGUGAAGCGGGAAGAGCUCAAAUUUGAAAUCUCCGAUGCCUGCAUCGGCGAGUUGUAGUUGCGAGAAGCACUUUCUAGGUGGAUCGGCGGUGCCUAAGUUGCUUGGAACAGCACGUCGCAGAGGGUGACAACCCCGUCUGUGGCGCCGCCGGCCGCCGACGAUGUGCUUUCCAAGAGUCGGGUUGUUUGGGAAUGCAGCCCAAAACGGGUGGUAAACUCCAUCUAAAGCUAAAUACUGGCGUGAGACCGAUAGCGA